UGCACAAUUACAGCAAGAGCAGGAGCUGUAACAACAGGCAGACACAAUGCAGGGCAGCUCCCCAGACACUGACACCUAAAGAAUGCAGUGUUUGUGCUUCACCUUUACCUGCUGAAGACAGAAUAAUAGAGUUGGGAUCUUCAAUUCUGUGGAAAGACAAUGGGACGGGGACAUGACUUAGAGUGAACUUCCUGGGAGAGGGUGUGCCCAGAAGCUCCGUCCUUUUGCAAGAAGUAACCGCCCAUGAAUUUCCACAAAAUGGAAGCGCUUCCGGGCAUAUUCUCUCCCCCAAUCUUCUAAUCAGGGGAGAGGAUGUACCUAGAAUGUCCACCAUUUUGCGGAAGUUCACCGGGGGAGGGGUUGUGUCCCUGUCCUGUUGUCCACAGAGAAGCAGACAAAGAACAAAGACUUUUUGGAGCAACGGAAUAAG
Molecule: long non-coding RNA, 430 nt
Organism: Spea bombifrons (plains spadefoot toad)
Lineage: Eukaryota; Metazoa; Chordata; Amphibia; Anura; Pelobatidae
Exons: 3
Source: RefSeq, a predicted model, not a curated record